RNAcentral lists this ribosomal RNA (484 nucleotides) under uncultured bacterium. Its description in RNAcentral is "partial 16S ribosomal RNA". It matches the Rfam family "Bacterial small subunit ribosomal RNA", at positions 30 to 507 of the family's 1533-position model. The record is from RNAcentral.
AUUGAACGCUGGCGGCAGGCCUAACACAUGCAAGUCGAGCGGAUGAAGGGAGCUUGCUCCUGGAUUCAGCGGCGGACGGGUGAGUAAUGCCUAGGAAUCUGCCUGGUAGUGGGGGAUAACGUCCGGAAACGGGCGCUAAUACCGCAUACGUCCUGAGGGAGAAAGUGGGGGAUCUUCGGACCUCACGCUAUCAGAUGAGCCUAGGUCGGAUUAGCUAGUUGGUGGGGUAAAGGCCUACCAAGGCGACGAUCCGUAACUGGUCUGAGAGGAUGAUCAGUCACACUGGAACUGAGACACGGUCCAGACUCCUACGGGAGGCAGCAGUAGGGAAUAUUGGACAAUGGGCGAAAGCCUGAUCCAGCCAUGCCGCGUGUGUGAAGAAGGUCUUCGGAUUGUAAAGCACUUUAAGUUGGGAGGAAGGGCAGUAAGUUAAUACCUUGCUGUUUUGACGUUACCAACAGAGUAAGCAACGGCUAACUUCGUG